This 493-nucleotide ribosomal RNA is filed under the name uncultured bacterium. Its description in RNAcentral is "partial 16S ribosomal RNA". It matches the Rfam family "Bacterial small subunit ribosomal RNA", at positions 28 to 507 of the family's 1533-position model. The record is from RNAcentral.
GACGAACGCUGGCGGCGUGCCUAACACAUGCAAGUUGAGCGACGACCCAGGGCUUGCCCUGGGGCAAAUCAGCGAACGGGUGAGUAACACCUGGGUAACCUACCCCAAUGACCGGGACAACCCGAGGAAACUCGGGCUAAUACCGGAUGAGCUCACUGGACCUCGGUUCAGUGCGUACAGGAAGCUUCGGCCUCCGUAUCGGGAGGGGCCAGCAGCCCAGUAGUUUGUUGGUGAGGUAACGGCUCACCAAGCCCGCGAUGGGUAGCUGGUCUGAGCGGACGAUCAGCCACAUUGGGACAGAGAAUGAGCCGAGACUCUUACGGGAGGCAGCAGUGGGGAAUCUUGCGCAAGGCACGAAAGCGUAAUGCAGCAACGCCGCGUGGGGGAAGAAGGCGUUAGGGUUGUAGAGCGCUGUCAGGAGGGAGGAAGGUACGGCGGUGAAUAGCCGACCGGACUGACGGUACCUCGACAAGAAGCCCCGGCUAACUACGUG